RNAcentral lists this ribosomal RNA (633 nucleotides) under Triticum aestivum (bread wheat). Its description in RNAcentral is "partial small subunit ribosomal RNA". Lineage: Eukaryota; Viridiplantae; Streptophyta; Magnoliopsida; Poales; Poaceae. The record is from RNAcentral.
AUGCUGCGCCGUCUUCAACGUGUCGGUGCCCAGGCGAUUGCUGCCCUAUGGCCAGACAUGCUGGUUCUGCGUACUCCCAGUCGGACUCCCGACUGGCUGGAGGUCGCGGCUAGUCGUCUUGAGGCUUGGAAGGGUUACUCGGCCCGGGCUGGAGCGCGCCGGGCCUUGGAAUUCGUCAAGUCAUGGUAUCCAGGGAUGGACCUGGUCUGGCUGGCCGCGUUCCGGUCAGAGGCCCAGGCGGAGCUGAUAGCUGUGGAAGACGUCAUCGUCACGCGUGCAGCGGCGAUCGCCGACUAUGCAAACACUAGCGUCUUCGUCCCUGAUCAGGAUGAAGAUGGCGGGGAGGCGCCGCCAGAGUGGUUUGGGAUGAACCCAGAUUACGACGAGGACUCAGCGGAGGUGAUUGCUUCUAGCGCCAAGGAGGAAGGCGAGGCGGAGGACGGAGGUGAGACGGAGGCGCCAGAAGACGGAGCGGGCGACCAGCCUCAGCUCGACCGCGCCUCCAGCAAUGAGCCGCGCCUGACCGAGCCGGCCGCCGCCGGAGACGAUCAAGCCGAGACUGCCCAGCCGGCUGCCCCGGCGCCUGACACUGCCGUCUCUUCCGAUCCUCCGAACCCAUCUGCCGCUUCAUAG